Molecule: ribosomal RNA, 253 nt
Filed under: uncultured bacterium
Lineage: Bacteria
Description: partial 16S ribosomal RNA
Rfam family: Bacterial small subunit ribosomal RNA
Source: RNAcentral
UACGGGGGGGGCAAGCGUUGUUCGGAAUUACUGGGCGUAAAGGGCUCGUAGGUGGCCAACUAAGUCAGACAUGAAAUCCCUCGGCUUAACCGGGGAACUGCGUCUGAUACUGGAUGGCUGGAGUAUGGGAGAGGGAUGCGGAAUUCCAGGUGUAGCGGUGAAAUGCGUAGAUAUCUGGAGGAACACCGGUGGCGAAGGCGGCAUCCUGGACCAUUACUGACGCUGAGGAGCGAAAGCCAGGGGAGCAAACGGG